RNAcentral lists this transfer RNA (77 nucleotides) under Campylobacterota bacterium. Its description in RNAcentral is "Epsilonproteobacteria bacterium tRNA-Met". It matches the Rfam family "tRNA". Rfam says of the family: Transfer RNA (tRNA) molecules are approximately 80 nucleotides in length. Their secondary structure includes four short double-helical elements and three loops (D, anti-codon, and T loops). Lineage: Bacteria; Pseudomonadati; Campylobacterota. The record is from RNAcentral. RNAcentral also lists the same sequence under 1 other name.
CGCGGGAUAGAGCAGUUUGGUAGCUCGUCGGGCUCAUAACCCGAAGGUCGUAGGUUCAAAUCCUACUCCCGCAACCA